AUUUUAACACGAAGUGAGUGGCGGACGGGUGAGUAACACGUGGGUAACCUGCCCAGAAGCAGGGGAUAACACCUGGAAACAGAUGCUAAUACCGUAUAACAGAGAAAACCGCCUGGUUUUCUUUUAAAAGAUGGCUCUGCUAUCACUUCUGGAUGGACCCGCGGCGCAUUAGCUAGUUGGUGAGGUAACGGCUCACCAAGGCGAUGAUGCGUAGCCGACCUGAGAGGGUAAUCGGCCACAUUGGGACUGAGACACGGCCCAGACUCCUACGGGAGGCAGCAGUAGGGAAUCUUCCACAAUGGACGCAAGUCUGAUGGAGCAACGCCGCGUGAGUGAAGAAGGGUUUCGGCUCGUAAAGCUCUGUUGUUAAAGAAGAACGUGGGUGAGAGUAACUGUUCACCCAGUGACGGUAUUUAACCAGAAAGCCACGGCUAACUACGUGCCAGCAGCCGCGGUAAUACGUAGGUGGCAAGCGUUAUCCGGAUUUAUUGGGCGUAAAGCGAGCGCAGGCGGUCUUUUAAGUCUAAUGUGAAAGCCUUCGGCUCAACCGAAGAAGUGCAUUGGAAACUGGGAGACUUGAGUGCAGAAGAGGACAGUGGAACUCCAUGUGUAGCGGUGAAAUGCGUAGAUAUAUGGAAGAACACCAGUGGCGAAGGCGGCUGUCUGGUCUGUAACUGACGCUGAGGCUCGAAAGCAUGGGUAGCGAACAGGAUUAGAUACCCUGGUAGUCCAUGCCGUAAACGAUGAUUACUAAGUGUUGGAGGGUUUCCGCCCUUCAGUGCUGCAGCUAACGCAUUAAGUAAUCCGCCUGGGGAGUACGACCGCAAGGUUGAAACUCAAAAGAAUUGACGGGGGCCCGCACAAGCGGUGGAGCAUGUGGUUUAAUUCGAAGCUACGCGAAGAACCUUACCAGGUCUUGACAUCUUCUGCCAACCUAAGAGAUUAGGCGUUCCCUUCGGGGACAGAAUGACAGGUGGUGCAUGGUUGUCGUCAGCUCGUGUCGUGAGAUGUUGGGUUAAGUCCCGCAACGAGCGCAACCCUUAUUACUAGUUGCCAGCAUUCAGUUGGGCACUCUAGUGAGACUGCCGGUGACAAACCGGAGGAAGGUGGGGACGACGUCAAAUCAUCAUGCCCCUUAUGACCUGGGCUACACACGUGCUACAAUGGAUGGUACAACGAGUUGCGAAACCGCGAGGUUUAGCUAAUCUCUUAAAACCAUUCUCAGUUCGGACUGUAGGCUGCAACUCGCCUACACGAAGUCGGAAUCGCUAGUAAUCGCGGAUCAGCAUGCCGCGGUGAAUACGUUCCCGGGCCUUGUACACACCGCCCGUCACACCA
Molecule: ribosomal RNA, 1338 nt
Filed under: Pediococcus acidilactici
Lineage: Bacteria; Bacillati; Bacillota; Bacilli; Lactobacillales; Lactobacillaceae
Description: bacterial SSU rRNA
Rfam family: Bacterial small subunit ribosomal RNA
Source: RNAcentral